GCCCUUGUAGUUUAAAUAAAAAUUUUAAUUUUGUAAAUUAAAGAUGCCACCCAAGGGCA
RNAcentral lists this transfer RNA (59 nucleotides) under Proasellus assaforensis. Its description in RNAcentral is "transfert RNA-T(ACA)". The record is from RNAcentral. Lineage: Eukaryota; Metazoa; Arthropoda; Malacostraca; Isopoda; Asellidae.